AUUUCAUCACGAGUAGCGGAGGGAACGGCCCUUUGAAGCUACGGCAACCAUUCUUUAUGAAACGGUGCCAAAUCCGACGGAUAUUCCGACAGAUGAUGU
Molecule: non-coding RNA, 99 nt
Filed under: Veillonellaceae bacterium DNF00626
Lineage: Bacteria; Bacillati; Bacillota; Negativicutes; Veillonellales; Veillonellaceae
Also listed under: 1 other name
Description: SAM riboswitch aptamer (S box leader)
Rfam family: SAM riboswitch aptamer (S box leader)
About the family: The SAM riboswitch is found upstream of a number of genes which code for proteins involved in methionine or cysteine biosynthesis in Gram-positive bacteria. The SAM riboswitch acts at the level of transcription termination control.
Source: Rfam by way of RNAcentral